UCCAAUGUGGUGUAGUGGCUAACAUUGCUGUCUUUCAUCUGCGUUUCGGAAAUUGUAACACAGCAGCCCGGGGUUCGAUUCCCCGCAUUGGAA
The sequence is a transfer RNA, 93 nucleotides long. It matches the Rfam family "tRNA". Rfam says of the family: Transfer RNA (tRNA) molecules are approximately 80 nucleotides in length. Their secondary structure includes four short double-helical elements and three loops (D, anti-codon, and T loops). The record is from Rfam.